RNAcentral lists this ribosomal RNA (1346 nucleotides) under uncultured bacterium. RNAcentral's name for it is "partial 16S ribosomal RNA". It matches the Rfam family "Bacterial small subunit ribosomal RNA", at positions 28 to 1381 of the family's 1533-position model. The record is from RNAcentral.
GACGAACGCUGGCGGCGUGCUUAACACAUGCAAGUCGAACGGAAAGGCCCUGCUUUUGUGGGGUGCUCGAGUGGCGAACGGGUGAGUAACACGUGAGUAACCUGCCCUUGACUUUGGGAUAACUUCAGGAAACUGGGGCUAAUACCGGAUAGGAGCUCCUGCUGCAUGGUGGGGGUUGGAAAGUUUCGGCGGUUGGGGAUGGACUCGCGGCUUAUCAGCUUGUUGGUGGGGUAGUGGCUUACCAAGGCUUUGACGGGUAGCCGGCCUGAGAGGGUGACCGGCCACAUUGGGACUGAGAUACGGCCCAGACUCCUACGGGAGGCAGCAGUGGGGAAUAUUGCACAAUGGGCGGAAGCCUGAUGCAGCAACGCCGCGUGCGGGAUGACGGCCUUCGGGUUGUAAACCGCUUUCGCCUGUGACGAAGCGUGAGUGACGGUAAUGGGUAAAGAAGCACCGGCUAACUACGUGCCAGCAGCCGCGGUGAUACGUAGGGUGCGAGCGUUGUCCGGAUUUAUUGGGCGUAAAGGGCUCGUAGGUGGUUGAUCGCGUCGGAAGUGUAAUCUUGGGGCUUAACCCUGAGCGUGCUUUCGAUACGGGUUGACUUGAGGAAGGUAGGGGAGAAUGGAAUUCCUGGUGGAGCGGUGGAAUGCGCAGAUAUCAGGAGGAACACCAGUGGCGAAGGCGGUUCUCUGGGCCUUUCCUGACGCUGAGGAGCGAAAGCGUGGGGAGCGAACAGGCUUAGAUACCCUGGUAGUCCACGCUGUAAACGGUGGGUACUAGGUGUGGGGUCCAUUCCACGGGUUCCGUGCCGUAGCUAACGCUUUAAGUACCCCGCCUGGGGAGUACGGCCGCAAGGCUAAAACUCAAAGGAAUUGACGGGGCCCCGCACAAGCGGCGGAGCAUGCGGAUUAAUUCGAUGCAACGCGUAGAACCUUACCUGGGUUUGACAUGGAUCGGGAGUGCUCAGAGAUGGGUGUGCCUCUUUUGGGGUCGGUUCACAGGUGGUGCAUGCCUGUCGUCAGCUCGUGUCGUGAGAUGUUGGGUUAAGUCCCGCAACGAGCGCAACCCUUGUUCACUGUUGCCAGCACGUUAUGGUGGGGACUCAGUGGAGACCGCCGGGGUCAACUCGGGGGAAGGUGGGGAUGACGUCAAGUCAUCAUGCCCCUUAUGUCCAGGGCUUCACGCAUGCUACAAUGGCUGGUACAGAGAGUGGCGAGCCUGUGAGGGUGAGCGAAUCUCGGAAAGCCGGUCUCAGUUCGGAUUGGGGUCUGCAACUCGACCUCAUGAAGUCGGAGUCGCUAGUAAUCGCAGAUCAGCAACGCUGCGGUGAAUACGUUCCCGGGGCU